CCCUUAGAUGUUCUGGGCCGCACGCGCGCUACACUGACGGAGUCAACGAGUUGUCCUGCAUCGGAAGGUGUGGGUAAUCUUUUGAAACUUCGUCGUGCUGGGGAUAGAUCUUUGCAAUUUUCGAUCUUGAACGAGGAAUUCCUAGUAAGCGUGAUUCAUCAGAUCGCGUUGAUUACGUCCCUGCCCUUUGUACACACCGCCCGUCGCUACUACCGAUUGAAUGGUUUAGUGAGGCCUCGGGACUGGCGCGCUCGAGUAGCAAUACACCUGCGCGCCGGGAACUUGGUCAAACUUGAUCAUUUAGAGAAAGUAAAAGUCGUAACA
This 324-nucleotide ribosomal RNA is filed under the name uncultured eukaryote. RNAcentral describes it as "partial 18S ribosomal RNA". It matches the Rfam family "Eukaryotic small subunit ribosomal RNA", at positions 1470 to 1796 of the family's 1831-position model. The record is from RNAcentral.